UUCAGCAGUGAUGAUAAAUGUUCACAAUCCCAGCUCAUUACGAGACCCGUCACGGGUCAAGGAGUUGAAUUCAUGUUUCCAACAUUUAUCUGAGCUCUUUC
Molecule: small nucleolar RNA, 101 nt
Filed under: Eucalyptus grandis
Lineage: Eukaryota; Viridiplantae; Streptophyta; Magnoliopsida; Myrtales; Myrtaceae
Source: RNAcentral